Molecule: transfer RNA, 75 nt
Filed under: Microcoleus sp.
Lineage: Bacteria; Bacillati; Cyanobacteriota; Cyanophyceae; Oscillatoriales; Microcoleaceae
Also listed under: 30 other names
Description: tRNA-Glu
Rfam family: tRNA
About the family: Transfer RNA (tRNA) molecules are approximately 80 nucleotides in length. Their secondary structure includes four short double-helical elements and three loops (D, anti-codon, and T loops). Further hydrogen bonds mediate the characteristic L-shaped molecular structure. tRNAs have two regions of fundamental functional importance: the anti-codon, which is responsible for specific mRNA codon recognition, and the 3' end, to which the tRNAs corresponding amino acid is attached (by aminoacyl-tRNA synthetases). tRNAs cope with the degeneracy of the genetic code in two manners: having more than one tRNA (with a specific anti-codon) for a particular amino acid; and 'wobble' base-pairing, i.e. permitting non-standard base-pairing at the 3rd anti-codon position.
Source: RNAcentral
AGUGCUGUAGGCAAAUGGUUUAAGCCGCUUGGUUUUCACCCAAGUGAUUUGCGGGUUCAACUCCCGUCAGCACUU